UAGGUGCUGGGGCUUGUUGAUAGACAGCACAGGGACAGCGGCACUGCAGGAGACUGCGCUGGGGCUCCCUGAGCAGCCUUUUCCUUCAGGGCUUUGGGAAGCACCUGGAACGGCUGGUUAGUGUGACGUUCCAUUGGCUUCUUCUGCUGUGAAGCCUGAUGUGACCAUGAAGACCAAACUGAUUAGUCAGGAUGAUCUGGAGAUUCCAGGGCCAUGCCAGGCUGAGGCAGGCUCCCCCAGGCUUGGAAGCAUCCGCUCCAUGCUCCUAUCUAGAGUUAAAUGUCUACUUCAGCCCCACAAGCCAGGGGCGUGUUUGGCCAGUACUGAGCAGGGACGAUCCUGCCUGGAGCAGGACUCCUCCAAGCCUGGCAGCUGCCCCUGGAAGAAGCUGCUGAUUGCCCUAGGAAUCAUGAUCACCAUUUCACUAAUGGUCCUGCUGCUCCUCUGGCAUUACAAGUGCAUCGUCAUUGACCGGUACUGUGAGGGGAACAGUGAGGUGCUGCCCCCCUUAUUCAAAAUCCUACCGAGAAAGAGGACCUGAAACUUGGCCCGGCCCUGCUCCCAGAGAGACCGCACCCCUGCCUUCCUGCCUGCAAGAAGGAUGAUGUGGAGCUCUGCUGAGCAGUUCUGACCAGGACUCUCCUGGAGCCUUAACCAGGAAUGUGGCUCCUGGGCUAAUGGAUGCGUUUGCCUGGACACAUUCAGCAUGCUUGCUCUGACAGGCUCUUGUUCUAGUUACUGUGUAACCUUCUCCCACCCAUGUAUUUGCUUUCCCCAGAGCCUGGUGAAUGUGGCAUAACUAGCCCAGCUCUGAAGUGUUGUAACAUUUUGAGUCAUAUUAAAUUUCAUGAUCCUUCCA
This is a long non-coding RNA of Malaclemys terrapin pileata, 859 nucleotides long. RefSeq lists it as uncharacterized. NCBI's taxonomy places the organism in Eukaryota, Metazoa, Chordata, Testudines, Emydidae. The transcript is spliced from 2 exons. The record is from RefSeq and is a predicted model, not a curated record.